UGCAGUUUGGUGGUAGAAUGCUUGCCUAGCAUGCAGGAGGCCCUGGGUUCAAUCCCCAGAACUGGGG
RNAcentral lists this transfer RNA (67 nucleotides) under Marmota monax (woodchuck). RNAcentral describes it as "tRNA.Ala". The stretch from base 4 to 59 matches the Rfam family "tRNA", at positions 9 to 63 of the family's 71-position model. Rfam says of the family: Transfer RNA (tRNA) molecules are approximately 80 nucleotides in length. Their secondary structure includes four short double-helical elements and three loops (D, anti-codon, and T loops). The record is from RNAcentral. Lineage: Eukaryota; Metazoa; Chordata; Mammalia; Rodentia; Sciuridae.